AUUGAACGCUGGCGGCAUGCCUUACACAUGCAAGUCGAACGGCAGCGCGGGGCAACCUGGCGGCGAGUGGCGAACGGGUGAGUAAUAUAUCGGAACGUACCCUGGAGUGGGGGAUAACGUAGCGAAAGUUACGCUAAUACCGCAUACGAUCUAAGGAUGAAAGUGGGGGAUUCGCAAGAACCUCAUGCUCCUGGAGCGGCCGAUAUCUGAUUAGCUAGUUGGUAGGGUAAAAGCCUACCAAGGCAUCGAUCAGUAGCUGGUCUGAGAGGACGACCAGCCACACUGGAACUGAGACACGGUCCAGACUCCUACGGGAGGCAGCAGUGGGGAAUUUUGGACAAUGGGCGCAAGCCUGAUCCAGCAAUGCCGCGUGAGUGAAGAAGGCCUUCGGGUUGUAAAGCUCUUUUGUCGGGGAAGAAACGGGUUUUUCUAAUACAGAGACCUAAUGACGGUACCUGAAGAAUAAGCACCGGCUAACUACGUGCCAGCAGCCGCGGUAAUACGUAGGGUGCAAGCGUUAAUCGGAAUUACUGGGCGUAAAGCGUGCGCAGGCGGUUUUGUAAGACUGUCGUGAAAUCCCCGGGCUCAACCUGGGAAUGGCGAUGGUGACUGCAAGGCUAGAGUUUGGCAGAGGGGGGUAGAAUUCCACGUGUAGCAGUGAAAUGCGUAGAUAUGUGGAGGAACACCGAUGGCGAAGGCAGCCCCCUGGGUCAAAACUGACGCUCAUGCACGAAAGCGUGGGGAGCAAACAGGAUUAGAUACCCUGGUAGUCCACGCCCUAAACGAUGUCUACUAGUUGUCGGGUUUUAAUUAACUUGGUAACGCAGCUAACGCGUGAAGUAGACCGCCUGGGGAGUACGGUCGCAAGAUUAAAACUCAAAGGAAUUGACGGGGACCCGCACAAGCGGUGGAUGAUGUGGAUUAAUUCGAUGCAACGCGAAAAACCUUACCUACCCUUGACAUGGCAGAGAUCCCGGAGAGAUUCGGGAGUGCUCGAAAGAGAAUCUGCACACAGGUGCUGCAUGGCUGUCGUCAGCUCGUGUCGUGAGAUGUUGGGUUAAGUCCCGCAACGAGCGCAACCCUUGUCAUUAGUUGCUACGAAAGAGCACUCUAAUGAGACUGCCGGUGACAAACCGGAGGAAGGUGGGGAUGACGUCAAGUCCUCAUGGCCCUUAUGGGUAGGGCUUCACACGUCAUACAAUGGUACAUACAGAGGGCCGCCAACCCGCGAGGGGGAGCUAAUCCCAGAAAGUGUAUCGUAGUCCGGAUUGUAGUCUGCAACUCGACUGCAUGAAGUUGGAAUCGCUAGUAAUCGCGGAUCAGCAUGUCGCGGUGAAUACGUUCCCGGGUCU
RNAcentral lists this ribosomal RNA (1352 nucleotides) under uncultured bacterium. RNAcentral's name for it is "bacterial SSU rRNA". It matches the Rfam family "Bacterial small subunit ribosomal RNA", at positions 28 to 1381 of the family's 1533-position model. The record is from RNAcentral.